AAGAAGGCAAUCUAUUUAUCAAAUAUGUAGCAGUAAGUAUACACUCUACCAAAUAUCUUAUUGGCAAUUUGGAUUGAUAAAGUAAGGCUCUAGCUGUUUCUAGUAAGUAUUUAUAUUUUCUCUCAACCACACCAUUUUGUUGCAGUGUGUAUGGAUAAGUUUUCUGGUAGAUUAUACUUUUCUCUUGAAAAUAUAGCAUGGCUUUGUUGUUCAAAAUUUCCAGCCUAUUGUCCACCUAACAGUCUUGACUGAUGUAUUGACCUGAUUUCAGUCAUGAAAACAAGAGCUUUGAUGGCUUAAAGAGUGUUACUUUUGCUACUUAAGAGAUGAGUCUAGAUUGAUCUAUUGAAAUCAUCCUCCAUUGUAAGGAGUAUUAGUAAUUGUCAUGUGUAGUUGUGUGAUAGGAAACCCAUAAAUCUAUUUGUAAGAGUUCAAAUAUUUUGGUAGUAUAUGAAGUUCUUUGGCUAAAAGGUAACCUUGUCUGACUUGCUGGCGAGUGAAUAGUUUUUUGUGGGAAAAUUCAACAACUAUUGUGGAAAUAGUUCUCAUUUUUACAACGUGUACAUGGCCUAGUCUGUUAUGCCAUAGAUGUUCAUUUUUGUUUUUUUGAGUUGAUAAGAUAACAGAAGAGAGCUUACAUUAAAGGAAGAGUCGGUUUUAUUGCUUGAGUGAAGAUUAUUUACAUUGACAUUGUUAUGUGACUAAGAUGACUUAUUUACAUUUGACAAGGAUUGCGUAGGGGAAUUGUUACACUUUCCGAAAACAAGAAUGAGACCAAAUAUUGACUAGGAGAUAAAAGGAACCAAACUCUGAACAUCUAUGACACUCAGGGCAAAUGAAGUACAAUCCACUCCUUGCCUUACCAAUCUCCAGAGGCCUUUUCAUUGAAGGGGCAUGCAUCAUGCAAAGGUAUUUACUGAAGUUAACUAUGCAAUUGAGGUAAUCAGUUAAAGCAUGAACGUAGAUGAGAUUGUAUUUGAAAGUUGGCACAUAUAGAAAUUUAACUAAGUUAACAUAGGACCAAGAGAUGCAUCUCCAAUUUCUGUCACUCUCAAUCUAUAUCUAUUGGAUAAGAUGACUAGGAAAAGAUAGGGAAAAGUUCUAAAUUUUUUAUAAAAAAAGACUUUUUGUAUAUCAUAUGAUUUGAGGCUCCACUAUCUAAUAUUCACAAGAUAGCCAUUGAUUUAGAACAUCUACACACAAUUAUUUCAGCAAUCUUUUUAUAGGUAGAACAAACUAGAAUACCUGCAAAGUUUGCAGCUCCACAAGUCAUGUUGUUGUUAAGGCCUUCUCCUGUGUUUCUUCCCGUGAAUAUCGCCAACAGACUAAGCAAUUGAUUGUACUACUCCUUUGUUAAGAUCUGAAGUCCCUAACCUUGAUUUCCUUCUUCCAUCUCCUCAGAAUCUACAUGACCAUUUGCAGUAGAUCCUGCAUUUUUCCCUUUUGUGAACUUGAAAUCUUGUGGAAAGCCAUGAAUUUAGUAACAGUUGUCCCUGAUAUGUCAUGGCUUUUUAUACACAGAACAUAUGAGACUUAGCAUGUGGAUAGUUUGAUUUGUUAGAAUUGUAUGAGUUUUUCCAGUACUGCCUCCUCUCUAAUUGUAAUUUAUCCUGAACUUGGCAUUGCCGGGU
Molecule: long non-coding RNA, 1631 nt
Filed under: Nicotiana benthamiana
Lineage: Eukaryota; Viridiplantae; Streptophyta; Magnoliopsida; Solanales; Solanaceae
Description: long non-coding RNA (NBEN_LNC006452)
Source: RNAcentral